UACACGUGGACAAUCUGCCCUGGAGAGGAGGAUAAUCCCGGGAAACUGGGGGUAAUACUCCAUAUUUCGUGUUGACUGGAAUGUUACGCGAAAGAAAGAUCCGUCGCUUCAGGAUGAGUCUGCGGCCGAUUAGGUAGUUGUCGGGGUAACGUCCCAACAAGCCAGUGAUCGGUACGGGUUGUGGGAGCAAGAGCCCGGAGAUGGAUUCUGAGACACGAAUCCAGGCCCUACGGGGCGCAGCAGGCGCGAAAACUUUACAAUGCGGGAAACCGUGAUAAGGGGACACCGAGUGUCAGCGUCAUACGCUGGCUGUCCAGGUGUGUAAAAUACACCUGUUAGCAAGGGCCGGGCAAGACCGGUGCCAGCCGCCGCGGUAACACCGGCGGCCCGAGUGGUGAUCGUGAUUAUUGGGUCUAAAGGGUCCGUAGCCUGUUUGGUCAGUCCUCCGGGAAAUCUGACAGCUCAACUGUUAGGCUUUCGGAGGAUACUGCCAGACUUGGAACCGGGAGAGGUAAGAGGUACUACAGGGGUAGGAGUGAAAUCUUGUAAUCCCUGUGAGACCACCUGUGGCGAAGGCGUCUUACCAGAACGGGUUCGACGGUGAGGGACGAAAGCUGGGGGCACGAACCGGAUUAGAUACCCGGGUAGUCCCAGCCGUAAACGAUGCUCGCUAGGUGUCAGGCAUGGCGCGACCGUGUCUGGUGCCGCAGGGAAGCCGUGAAGCGAGCCACCUGGGAAGUACGGCCGCAAGGCUGAAACUUAA
RNAcentral lists this ribosomal RNA (763 nucleotides) under uncultured archaeon. Its description in RNAcentral is "bacterial SSU rRNA". It matches the Rfam family "Archaeal small subunit ribosomal RNA", at positions 95 to 859 of the family's 1478-position model. The record is from RNAcentral.